GCGAAAGUGAUAAGUAUCCCACCUGGGGAGUACGUUCGCAAGAAUGAAACUCAAAGGAAUUGACGGGGGCCCGCCCAAGCGGUGGAGCAUGUGGUUUAAUUCGAUGAUACGCGAGGAACCUUACCAGGGCUUAAAUGUAGAUUGACAGAUUUGGAAACAGAUUUUUUUUCGGACAAUUUACAAGGUGCUGCAUGGUUGUCGUCAGCUCGUGCCGUGAGGUGUCAGGUUAAGUCCUAUAACGAGCGCAACCCCUAUUGUUAGUUACCAUCGCGUAGUGGCGGGGACUCUAGCAAGACUGCCGGUGCAAACCGUGAGGAAGGUGGGGAGGACGUCAAAUCAUCACGGCCCUUACGUCCUGGGCUACACACGUGCUACAAUGGCAAGUACAGAAAGCAGCUACCUGGCAACAGGAUGCGAAUCUCCAAAGCUUGUCUCAGUUCGGAUUGGAGUCUGCAACUCGACUCUAUGAAGCUGGAAUCGCUAGUAAUCGGAUAUCAGCCAUGAUCCGGUGAAUACGUUCCCGGGCCUUGUACACACCGCCCGUCAAGCCAUGGAAGCUGGGGGUAC
RNAcentral lists this ribosomal RNA (567 nucleotides) under Myroides sp. MAL44. Its description in RNAcentral is "bacterial SSU rRNA". It matches the Rfam family "Bacterial small subunit ribosomal RNA", at positions 851 to 1420 of the family's 1533-position model. The record is from RNAcentral. Lineage: Bacteria; Pseudomonadati; Bacteroidota; Flavobacteriia; Flavobacteriales; Flavobacteriaceae.